Molecule: ribosomal RNA, 253 nt
Filed under: uncultured bacterium
Lineage: Bacteria
Description: partial 16S ribosomal RNA
Rfam family: Bacterial small subunit ribosomal RNA
Source: RNAcentral
UACGGGGGGGGCAAGCGUUGUUCGGAAUUACUGGGCGUAAAGGGCUCGUAGGUGGCCAACUAAGUCAGACGUGAAAUCCCUCGGCUUAACCGGGGAACUGCGUCUGAUACUGGAUGGCUUGAGUUCGGGAGAGGGAUGCGGAAUUCCAGGUGUAGCGGUGAAAUGCGCAGAUAUCUGGAGGAACACCGGUGGCGAAGGCGGCAUCCUGGACCGGCACUGACACUGAGGAGCGAAAGCCAGGGGAGCAAACGGG